Molecule: long non-coding RNA, 1504 nt
Filed under: Homo sapiens (human)
Lineage: Eukaryota; Metazoa; Chordata; Mammalia; Primates; Hominidae
Description: HSALNT0269031
Source: RNAcentral
UGCCCUGCCCCCAGAGGUGGAGCCUACAGAGGCAGGCAGGACUCCUUGAGCUGUGGUGGGCUGGGCCCAGUUGGAGCUUCCCGGCUGCUUUGUUUACCUAAGCAAGCCUGGGCAAUGGCGGGCGCCCCUCCGCCAGCCUCACUGCCGCCUUGCAGUUUGAUCUCAGACUGCUGUGCUAGCAAUCAGCGAGACUCCGUGGGCGUAGGACCCUCCGAGCCAGGUGCCGGAUAUAAUCUCGUGGUGCGCCGUUUUUUAAGCCCGUCCGAAAAGCGCAAUAUUCGGGUGGGAGUGACCCGAUUUUCCAGGAGGGGGAGGAGCCAAGAUGGCCGAAUAGGAACAGCUCCGGUCUACAGCUCCCAGCCUGAGCGACGCAGAAGACGGGUGAUUUCUGCAUUUCCAUCUGAGUGAACAUAGAUUCCUUCAGUAAAUAUUGGGAAAACAUUUGCUUCAGGCCCAUUACUGGGUACCGCUUUGAUACAGAGGACACACCAAGGAACAAGACAGAUAGGACCUCUGCCUCUGGUAAGUUUGCAUUCCAGAGGGAGGAGAAGACAAUAAGCAAGCAAGCCAUCAAGACCACGUCAGAUGAGACGAAUAAAGUCAGACAGCUUCCAAGGAGUGGAUGCUUAUGGAGAGAUCACAUGGAGCCUUGUAGCUGAUUUAUAAUCUCAUGGUCCUCAUUCAUACAUCAAACCCCUGAAGGCCUGGCAUUUUUAUCUCCCGACUCAACCUGCAUGCUACCAGAAGCUCGACAAAAUUACGGUGAAUAAGACAUGCUUCUUCCCUUCAAGAAGCUUCUAGUCAAUGGAGGAUAUGUAAGGCAGCAAUCUAACAGCAAUACAACACUAAACGUUCCUUGAGAAAAACACAAACAACAGGCAGAACUCAUGUCUGAGUAGAAGCUUCUUAGAAGAACUGAGUAGAACUUGGAAGAAACAUGUACCUCCUUCACACACAUAAUAUUGUUUUAUACUAUGCUAUCUUGUUGUAGGGGUACGUGUUGAUAUAUAACCCCAUUUUGCAUGUGAAGUCAAUGGGCUCAGUGGGCUCAGAGAGAUACAGUGAUUGAUUUGUUCUAGUUCCUUUUUUUUUUUUUUUUUGAGACAGAGUCUCACUGUGUCACCCAGGCUAGAGUGCGGUGGCUCAAUCUUAGCUCACUGCAGGCUCCACCUCCCAGGUUCAAGCAAUUCUCUGCCUCAGCCUCCCGAGUAGCUGGGAUUACAGGUACACUUUACCAUGCCCAGCUAAUUUUUGUAUUUUUAGUACAGAUGGGGUUUCACCACGUUGGCCAGGCUGGUCUUGAACUCCUGACCUCAAGUGAUUUACCUGCCUCGGCCUCCCAAAGUGCUGGGACUACAGGCGUGAGCCACCACGCUUGGCCUGCUCUAGUUCUUGUAGGUAAUAAGAGAUGGUGUUAAAUUCCUGUAACUAAUAAGAGAUGGGCUCAAAUUCUCCCUUGAACUCUAAGUCUGGCCCCUGGGCCACAUAAAGUAGGUCCUCUAAG